RNAcentral lists this ribosomal RNA (253 nucleotides) under uncultured bacterium. Its description in RNAcentral is "partial 16S ribosomal RNA". It matches the Rfam family "Bacterial small subunit ribosomal RNA", at positions 524 to 776 of the family's 1533-position model. The record is from RNAcentral.
UACAGAGGUCUCGAGCGUUAGGCGGAAUCACUGGGCUUAAAGCGUGUGUAGGCGGAGUGCUAAGUACCUUGUGAAAUCCCACGGCUUAACCGUGGAACUGCUUGGUAUACUGGUUCUCUUGAGCCACCUAGGGGCGAGCGGAACAAAUGGUGGAGCGGUGAAAUGCGCAGAUAUCAGGAGGAACACCAAUGGCGAAGGCAGCUCGCUGGGACGUGACUGACGCUGAGACGCGAAAGCGUGGGGAGCAAACAGG